GGAUGAAGAACGCAGCGAAAUGCGAUAAGUAAUGUGAAUUGCAGAAUUCAGUGAAUCAUCGAAUCUUUGAACGCACAUUGCGCCCCCUGGUAUUCCGGGGGGCAUGCCUGUUCGAGCGUCAUUUCACCACUCAAGCCUCGCUUGGUAUUGGGCAACGCGGUCCGCCGCGUGCCUCAAAUCGUCCGGCUGGGUCUUCUGUCCCCUAAGCGUUGUGGAAACUAUUCGCUAAAGGGUGUUCGGGAGGCUACGCCGUAAAACAACCCCAUUUCUAAGGUUGACCUCGGAUCAGGUAGGGAUACCCGCUGAACUUAAGCAUAUCAAUAAGCGGAGGA
RNAcentral lists this unclassified non-coding RNA (332 nucleotides) under soil metagenome. RNAcentral describes it as "partial contains 5.8S ribosomal RNA, internal transcribed spacer 2, and large subunit ribosomal RNA". The stretch from base 2 to 121 matches the Rfam family "5.8S ribosomal RNA", at positions 35 to 154 of the family's 154-position model. The record is from RNAcentral.